CGGAGCGUAGCUCAAUCUGGCAGUCUGAUGUAUUAUUGAUCCAUCGGUUGCCGGUUCAAAUCCGGCCGCUCCGACCA
RNAcentral lists this transfer RNA (77 nucleotides) under Candidatus Thorarchaeota archaeon. RNAcentral describes it as "tRNA-Asn". It matches the Rfam family "tRNA". Rfam says of the family: Transfer RNA (tRNA) molecules are approximately 80 nucleotides in length. Their secondary structure includes four short double-helical elements and three loops (D, anti-codon, and T loops). The record is from RNAcentral. Lineage: Archaea; Promethearchaeati; Candidatus Thorarchaeota.